AUGGAACUAAAGAGAGCGUAUCAUAUUUGGCCUUCUAAUUUCUUCCUUUUGGGUGGGGUCGUCUUGGAUCUCCCUGUCUUAACUGAGUGUUGCAGACUCACACAGGGCUUCCCAGGGCCCAGACUGAUGAUGGAUGAUAGGCUGAACAGACACUUGGGAAUGUCUUGCUCUUUGCAGAUACUGUGUGUGUCCUGGGCAGAGGAGGAGAGUCAUAUGCAAGCCUGUAGCACUGUCCUAUGAGCAAAAACUGCAGACAUCUUUGAGCGAUAGAAGAGACAACUGAGCUGGGGGCCAGUUCAGUGUGGACCUACAUUUCAACCACCAUGAUGAAGGUUUGGGACUGUUAUGGUCACAUUUGCUUUUUGGUCUUUAUAAUACUGAGAUAUACUUGUGAGAAUACAGCUGUGCUGGAGAAGCCAGGACUAAGAAGUAAUUUAAUAUUCAUUCUUAAGUGUCAGGAAGGUUACUAUACGAAAGCAGGUGACCAGCUACUCCUCCCUGAGCUCAGAGAGUGAAGACAUGGGUGUAAACCUCUACGAAUGAGACUCAGGUUACAGUCAUGGAAGACAUAGUGAGCUUCAGCUGAGUCCUGUUCUCGGGCCUGUCUCGGACACCAUACCCCCAUCUGUUAGUAGAAUGGCAACGUGGUCUAGAAAGAGCACUGGACAAGGAACCCUGGAGUGCUGUAGAGACCUUUUUAACUGCCAUGACCUUAGGCAUGCCAGACGUGUCCGUUUCUGGAUCUCAUUUUCUUCUCUUUUUUGAAUAAGGAAGGGCAUGGGUUAUGGUCUCUGAGCUUCUUCCUUUUACUUCAACCACUGGUUCUAUGCUAAGUGUAAGUGUUGGAAUGUAGAUACUCUUGAGUGUUUUCCUAAACCGGAAUCAGUUGUCUGUAACCCAGGUCAAUACACUAGCUGCUGUAGCAAACGAAUCUCAAAACAUACAACGGCCCAUGCAUGGUAGAAGUUUACUUCUUGUUCACAAAAGGUCUAAAAUGUGUUUCCCUAAUGAGCAGGCCGUUUUCCUCCAAGUGGUGAUACAGGGAAGCAGGAUCUUUCCUCCUUGCGGUUCUGACAUCUUAGGUACUUGACUCCAAGGUAGUCAUGCUCAUUUACAUUGAGCUGGUGGAAGAGGAAAAAGCAUAGGCAAUUGAGCCUGAGAGAUUUUUAAGGACCGACUAGGAGGGGUGUGCAUUAAUUCUGGUCAAAUUCCAUUGGUGAGAAAUCACUCACAUAGAAACACCUAAAUACAGAAGAGUUUGGGCAAGGUAGUUCAGCUCUGUGCCCAGGAAAAAGAGGAAAUGGAUUUAGACAAUAGGAAACAAUCUGUGCCAUAGAAAGGAGAGUUUAAAGGAGAAAGAGUUAUGUGAAUCGAAGAAGAGUAAGAUUAGGGUGAUGUUAAUUAUAUUCCUUUUUCUGAAGAGCUAGAAGUCCUCAGCUGCUGAAGGAUGGCAGGACCUGGGUUUAAAAAUAUUUUCUGGCCCACAAGGAAGAAUCCUGGGCAAAGACUCAAGACACACUAGGUUCUGGUUUGGUUGUCUCAAACUAGCUAUGGGACUGAAUAUAAUUUAUCUGACCGUUAUGUUUAUAGUUUCUUCAUCUGUUAAUUGUAACCAAAAUGCAUACUCUAACUACCUAACAGAAUUGUUUUAAAAGUCAGGUAUAGCAACAUCAUGCACAUUUUGAAAAAAACAAAACAAUGAUUAAAAUGGAGAAUGAGUUUAAAUUGUAGAUGGAGAAAAUUAAGUUGGAUAAGGAAAAAAGAAAUAAGAACUUUCCCCAUAGUGAAACAAGGAAAAUUUUUAGGGAAUGUGCAAAUAACUUCAAGAAAUCAAUGGGAAACAAUUUUGACAAGAUUGGAAAGAAGGCUCCAACUCGAAGGGUAGCUUGCGGGGGUUGGCACAGGAGACAUGGACUGUGGUUCUGGCACUACACGCAGAUUACUGUUUGACCUUGAGUGAAUUUCUUCCCCUCUUGGGGCUUCAGUUUCCCCUUUGCAAAACAAAAGGAUUGAACUAAAUAAUUUUGCUA
RNAcentral lists this long non-coding RNA (2030 nucleotides) under Macaca mulatta (Rhesus monkey). RNAcentral describes it as "lncRNA (ENSMMUG00000058231.1)". The record is from RNAcentral. Lineage: Eukaryota; Metazoa; Chordata; Mammalia; Primates; Cercopithecidae.